RNAcentral lists this long non-coding RNA (431 nucleotides) under Mytilus galloprovincialis (Mediterranean mussel). Lineage: Eukaryota; Metazoa; Mollusca; Bivalvia; Mytilida; Mytilidae. The record is from RNAcentral.
GUGUAAAAUCAGCAAAAAUUAUGAUGCUGAGUAUUUCUUUAUUUACUUUUCUUCAUUCUUGAUUCUAUAUUUAUGAUGUUUGUUAUGUUAUAUUACAGCUGCAAUUGCCCUGGAGCCAAAGAAAAAAUGGGAUAGGAAAAUAUAUACAUAAAUAUUCCACUCUUGUGUUUUUUUUAUUGAUAAAUGAUUUCGCUGGUUUUUUUCAAAGGUCUUGACAUAUUUUUAUUUAUUUUUCAGGUUUCUGCAGAAUAAGAAGACAAGAUAACCUGUGGUGGUUUUUAUUUAGAGACAUUUCAUGUGAGACUGUUUCCAAAUAUGGUGAAAUAAUAAUAAAAUUAAUUAUUACCUCCCCUUUUAUUUCUUUAUUUUGAUAUGAAAGACAUUACUUUUUAUGAACCAAAUUGCUCUGAAAAGGUUCACCUAUUACAUUC